Non-coding RNA from Pelobates cultripes (western spadefoot toad), 251 nucleotides. NCBI's taxonomy places the organism in Eukaryota, Metazoa, Chordata, Amphibia, Anura, Pelobatidae. The record is from the annotation of a GenBank genome assembly.
GGCAAAUUAAAGUCUCUAAUUCACAGGUAUAUUCUUCUUAAAUUCUCAGGACGUCUUGGGUCAAGUUCUCAUCAGCAUAUAUGAAAGAGAAAAAAACAUACAGAGGGGACCAAUGGUGCAGUAACGUAAAGGAGUAUGGCUACAGACAACACUGAGAUUAAAAAAUGCCAACUCACAUUUGUGGGAGCUAUAACCAGCUCGAGUAAAACAGCAUACAGUGGUAUUUAAACUCCCCACAUGCAGGAUAUUCC